This 1080-nucleotide ribosomal RNA is filed under the name uncultured bacterium. RNAcentral describes it as "bacterial SSU rRNA". It matches the Rfam family "Bacterial small subunit ribosomal RNA", at positions 60 to 1111 of the family's 1533-position model. The record is from RNAcentral.
AGUCGAACGCUUGUUUAGAGUAGCAAUAUUCUUAAGCAGGAGUGGCGCAAGGGUGCGUAACACGUGGGUAAUUUGCCAUGAAGUUGGGGAUAACUUGCUGAAAGGCGAGCUAAUACCGAAUGUGGUUUUUGGAAGGCAUCUUCUGGAGACUGAAGUUGGGGACUGUAACAGGCCUGACGCUUCAUGAUAAGCCCGCGGCCUAUCAGCUAGUUGGUGAGGUAACGGCUCACCAAGGCUAAGACGGGUAGCUGGUCUGAGAGGACGACCAGCCACACUGGAACUGAGACACGGUCCAGACACCUACGGGUGGCAGCAGUCGAGAAUUUUUCUCAAUGGGCGCAAGCCUGAAGGAGCGACGCCGCGUGGGGGAUGAAGGGUUUCGACCCGUAAACCCCUGUCAUUUGUGAACAAUGCUCAUUAUUUAAAAGAUGAUGAGUUGAUAGUAGCGGAAGAGGAAGGGACGGCUAACUCUGUGCCAGCAGCCGCGGUAAUACAGAGGUCCCGAGCGUUGUUCGGAUUCACUGGGCGUAAAGGGUGCGUAGGUGGUGAUGCAAGUUUGAUGUGAAAGCCUCGAGCUCAACUCGGGAAUGGCAUUGAAUACUGCGUUGCUUGAGGUUUGGAGGGGGGACUGGAAUUCUCGGUGUAGCAGUGAAAUGCGUAGAUAUCGAGAGGAACACCAGUGGCGAAGGCGAGUCCCUGGACAACACCUGACACUGAGGCACGAAAGCUAGGGGAGCAAACAGGAUUAGAUACCCUGGUAGUCCUAGCUGUAAACGGUGCACGUUUGCUGUAAGAGGAAUCGACCCCUUUUGUGGCGAAGCUAACGCGAUAAACGUGCCGCCUGGGAAGUACGGUCGCAAGAUUAAAACUCAAAGAAAUUGACGGGGCCUGCACAAGCGGUGGAGUAUGUGGCUUAAUUCGAUGCAACGCGAAGAACCUUACCUGGCCUUGACAUGCAUGUGGUAGGACCAUGAAAGUGGACGACCCCGCAAGGGGAGCAUGCACAGUGCUGCAUGCCUGUCGUCAGCUCGUGUCGUGAGAUGUUGGGUUAAGUCCCGCAACGAGCGCAAGCCUGGUGUC